This is a long non-coding RNA of Calypte anna (Anna's hummingbird), 101 nucleotides long. RefSeq lists it as uncharacterized. The transcript is spliced from 3 exons. The record is from RefSeq and is a predicted model, not a curated record. NCBI's taxonomy places the organism in Eukaryota, Metazoa, Chordata, Aves, Apodiformes, Trochilidae.
CUUCACAGCGUCCGUUCUUUCUUUUGCCAAGAUUGGUACGAUGCUCCCUGGAGAAAAAGUGUUGUUAGCCACAACUGUCCCCAUUGCUACCCCAGAUGCAA